RNAcentral lists this ribosomal RNA (254 nucleotides) under uncultured bacterium. RNAcentral's name for it is "partial 16S ribosomal RNA". It matches the Rfam family "Bacterial small subunit ribosomal RNA", at positions 524 to 776 of the family's 1533-position model. The record is from RNAcentral.
UACGGGGGGAGCAAGCGUUGUUCGGAUUUACUGGGCGUAAAGGGCGCGUAGGCGGCCAGCACAAGUCAGUUGUGAAAUCUCCGAGCUUAACUCGGAAAGGUCAACUGAUACUGUGCGGCUAGAGUGCGGAAGGGGCAACUGGAAUUCUUGGUGUAGCGGUGAAAUGCGUAGAUAUCAAGAGGAACGCCUGCGGCGAAGGCGGGUUGCUGGGCCGACACUGACGCUGAGGCGCGAAAGCUAGGGGAGCGAACGGG